This 497-nucleotide ribosomal RNA is filed under the name uncultured bacterium. Its description in RNAcentral is "partial 16S ribosomal RNA". It matches the Rfam family "Bacterial small subunit ribosomal RNA", at positions 28 to 507 of the family's 1533-position model. The record is from RNAcentral.
GAUGAACGCUGGCGGCGUGCCUAAUACAUGCAAGUCGAGCGAACAGACGAGGAGCUUGCUCCUCUGACGUUAGCGGCGGACGGGUGAGUAACAUGUGGAUAACCUACCUAUAAGACUGGGAUAACUUCGGGAAACCGGAGCUAAUACCGGAUAAUAUAUUGAACCGCAUGGUUCAAUAGUGAAAGACGGUUUUGCUGUCACUUAUAGAUGGAUCCGCGCCGUAUUAGCUAGUUGGUAGGGUAACGGCUUACCAAGGCAACGAUGCGUAGCCGACCUGAGAGGGUGAUCGGCCACACUGGAACUGAGACACGGUCCAGACUCCUACGGGAGGCAGCAGUAGGGAAUCUUCCGCAAUGGGCGAAAGCCUGACGGAGCAACGCCGCGUGAGUGAUGAAGGUCUUCGGAUCGUAAAACUCUGUUAUUAGGGAAGAACAAAUGUGUAAGUAACUAUGCACGUCUUGACGGUACCUAAUCAGAAAGCCACGGCUAACUACGUG